Trichomycterus rosablanca is the source of this 216-nucleotide long non-coding RNA. RefSeq lists it as uncharacterized. The record is from RefSeq and is a predicted model, not a curated record. The transcript has 3 exons. Lineage: Eukaryota; Metazoa; Chordata; Actinopteri; Siluriformes; Trichomycteridae.
GUGAACAGCAGAACCAGCACCAGCAGACGUGGCUUCAGCUGUCCGGGUAUAACGAGGAGAAUCCACAGUGCAGGUUUGAUCCUCCGACCUGCAGCGACACAGACUCACACUACUCAAGCUCCAGUUCUCCAUCUCCACCCGCACACACACCUGCUCUCUCAGGUAAGAGGAAGGAGCGCCUCUUUCAGUUCCUGUACGAGAUGCUGCAGACGCCGC